AAGCCAUGCAAUAGGACUGCAUCUGUCCCAUGAACACUCAUGAGCUUGAACCGUGAGGUUCAUUUAUCUGUACCUGUGUCCAGAGGUGGCUUGUUGGGAACACUAGAAAAGACUUCAGGGGGAAAAAAAAAUCAGUUAACUUGCUUUUGAUGGGUAUUUUGACAAAUCUCUUAAAUUCCUGUCCCCUUCAAGUCCUGCUCCAGGAAGGAGCAAAGCAGUCUUCACUUUGCAGCUGGUUGCAAAAGGCCUCUGGGCUUUUUGCAGCAAGGCCUCUUCCUCUUGAUACCUAGUGAAGCUUGAAUCAGGAAGCCCUGGCUCUGUGUGGCAAAACUGCCUGUACUUAACCUGGAGGAUCUGUCAGGUUAUCAAGCUGUCAGAUGUAGCUUAGAGAUGGAUAGUUAAACAUCUAAACAGUUGUGCUCAAAAAUUUCUGGUGCUCUGGGGUUGCUUGAGAAUUUGAAGGAUAAGUGUGAAUGGUGCAGAGAAUGGGGGGCUUGUGACAGAAGGCUUUGUCAGGGUUCAAAAUCACCUGUAACAUGAUGUUAUUCCACAGGGUCAGGAAAAAGUGUCCGCAGUAUGAAGAGAAAGAAGAAAGGAAAAAACUUCGGCAAGAAAACAGAAAUGGACAUGUUGGUGUGUAAAUGAGGAAAAAGCAGGGCCAGUGUGAUGAUUUGGAGACCCGACUGCGAACCGAAACAUGACUUAAGCUGAGAGCCCGAUACCAUGUGUGAGGAGCAAUCUUCGACCUCAGUGGGCCUGCCUGUUCUUUUCUGGAGGCUGGUUUCCACCAGGAGGUGCAAGUCGGCAUUACCCACACACCAAGCGUUUGGCUCUGCUCCACGUCCUGCGUGAGAGGGACCAUUAAAGAAGAACAGAGGGUGAAAUUCCACCCAAGUCAUUUUCGUUCUUCCAGCCCCAAAUUCCCACACUGCUCUGACAAGGAGAGUCCCCCAGACAGCCAUCCCACCUUGUCCUCAUGUUGCUGCUGGCUCCUCAGGCACAUGCUGCCUUCCUGGGAGAAUGCUGCAGCUCCUUCCCAAGCCCCCACGUGCUGUGUCUGCACCUCCAGCCAGACCAUCUUGGCUAGUGUCUGGAUGAACUUCACAGAAAUAAACAGGAUUUGA
Molecule: long non-coding RNA, 1124 nt
Filed under: Anas platyrhynchos (mallard)
Lineage: Eukaryota; Metazoa; Chordata; Aves; Anseriformes; Anatidae
Description: lncRNA (ENSAPLG00020011043.1)
Source: RNAcentral